UCCGAUUUGCAAAAUUCCCGAAUUUCCUUAAUCGGUCCGAUUAACAAACCGAUUAAGAAGUUGUCCGAUUAAGAAAUUUCUCCGAGGAAAUGUUUUAAUCGGAAUCGUAAUCGCUCUGAAUUGCUUAGCGCAGAGUGCGCUAAGCAAUUGCUUAGCGCAGAGUCCGCUGCGUCGGUGCAGCAGCGGAGCAGGCGGAGAGAAGAAAACUGUCGAAACACGGCUGGCUACAACCAAGAUACAAUCUAGUAGCUGCCGCCUUGGAAAUUUACGGACCCUGGGGAGGCGGAACGAAAAAACUCGUGGGGAAGGUCGGCAACUGCAUGGCUUCCGCCACAGGCCAGAAGCGGGCAAAAGAGUUUUUUAGACAGCGGCUUUCUAUUCAAAUGCAACGGGGAAACGCGUUAUGUGUCAUGGGUACGAUCCCCGAGCAGGAUAGCAUUGAAGAAGUGUUUUUGUUAUGAAUUUUGUUUUAGUAAGUACUUAGUAUGUACUUGUAUGUGAUGCUUAUUAAAAGUCAGUUCAUUUUUUUUUACACUGAUCUAGUGUUAAUGCAAUGUGUGACGUUUCUUAAUCGGUUUUGGAGCUUAGCGCACUCUGCCCUUAAUCACUUUUAAUGUUUACGAUUUUAUUUACGAUUAGCACUUCUGUUUCGUUUAGAGCGGUAAUAAUAAUAAUUGUCAGUCUAAAUGGACAGCUUAAGCGAUGAACAACAGCAAGCAGAGGAAAUGGAAGCUGUCGCUAGUAUUUACGGAAACGACCUGCACUACGAAGAUGGGUUUGGAUCGAAAGGAAGAAAUUUCAGCAUUAUCUUGUUUCCCAAGAACGAAACCCAAAUUUCGUUUUUCCUUCCGCCUGGAUAUCCAACGAAAGAGUCUCCCCGGACUACACUUAUUGCCCCUAGCCUGCGUGGCGAACCGCGAAAAGUAAUCGAGAGGAAACUGCAAGAAACAGCGGAGCGUUCUCUGGGACAGUGUUGUUUGUUCCAGCUUGCAGAGGAAGCACGAGAUUUAGUGACACAGGCGGGGAUCCAGGUGGAACCAUUAUUGGAAUCCUCAGUUAAAUCUGCAGCUGCUAGUGAAGAAAAUAUGCAUCCAGAGAACGCGUCCGUAUUGCCUUUGUUGAACCAUGAGAUUUUCCAUGGACGGCCAUUUACCGAACGAAAAAGUACAUUCCAGGCCCAUGUCGCCGCUGUCCGGAGUGUGACGGAAGUGCAUGCCAUUGUAGAUGAAUUGAAACGCAAUCGGAAAAUUGCUGAUGCGACGCACAACAUUAUGGCUUACAGAAUAGAAGGACCUGGGCAGAGCGUAAUUAGCGACUGUGAUGAUGACGGUGAACUGCAAGCCGGUGCGCGGCUUCUGCAUUUGCUCAAUAUUCUGGACGUGAAAAAUAAAGUGGUCGUCGUCAGCAGAUGGUUUGGCGGUGUUUUGCUGGGACCGGAAAGAUUUAAGCACAUAAGCAACGCAGCGCGCGAUCUGUUGGUUCAGCAUACAUAAUCCGAACAUAAUUAUACGUUAAUCAGUGCUAUCCGUGGCUGUUGCUGCAUUCUUUUCAUUUCAAAGCCGUUGUUUUGUUUCGGAGAAUUCAGCGGUAUUUGUUUUUUAACUUUUUACAUUAAAUUACCCACUAGCAUUUUUACCACACACCUCUUGCACAGACGUCAAUUUGCGGACAUGUUAUCAGUCAUAAUAGCACUUGCUAACUAGAGCAGCCACUAUUAAUGAGCAGAUUCCUCAUUGCCGAAAAAAAAGCAUUUGCUACUUCGCAAACAAAUUAUUUCGCAGUGAAAAAAUUUAAAAAGCGAAAUUCUCCCCGCCAGAAUCUCAAAAGGUUACGCAGCUGCUGAAGCGAAAAGCUUGGAACUAAUCAUGUACUAUUGUAGGCAUGCAGAUAUCUUCACACGCCUCUUUGAUGGUUGGAAAGAGAAACCCAAAGCCAUCACUGACGAUUUUUUUGGGAUGAACUUUCUGUCCGUCGGUAUGACGGCUGGUCGGUGCAUAGCCUUGGCAAAGGCUUUAGUAAAUUCGGCAUUCGUGAUGAUUUGUGGAGCAACUGCAUUGUACGCUCCAUGGCACCUGCGCAUUUUACGGAGCAAAAUUUAAGAAAUAGCACGACGAGUGUUACAUAACAAAUUUAUGGACACACAUCUACCGUAUGCUCAUUUCAGGGUGUACUUGUAAAUGUGGGCCAGAUCAUCCAAAUGUAUCCAAGGAAAAGGCUGCUUCCCGUCACCAACCGGUCCACCCAGUCCAAAAUAAAAUGGCCAAUACAAGUUUUUAAUGACGCCACCGUCGCGACCGAGUACAGCCCCACAACGAAGAUUUAUCACACGCACGCCUGACUCGCGUGGUAAAUGCGAAGCCUUUUCCCAGGCAUCCGCCAGUUGAGCCAGAAAAUCAUGUUUGCCUCCCGAACUGGCUUCGGUGUAUUCCUCCGUCGGACUCGGCUGGUAAUAGCCUAGAAACGAAAGAAAGCAAAGGAAAUAACGGCCGCAAAGGAUAUAACGGCUGUCCGACUCGGCAGUACAUACCAACACCGCUUGCAGUAAUAAAUACUUUCGGCUUCGUUUUCGUUGCAAGAAUUACUUCUCCUAAAAACCUGUUAAAUGUGGCAAUAUUACUGCACAAAACGUAUUCUUCCCUCAUUUUUAUCAGUGCGUUGUUCACAAAUGCACGGCUUUAGGUGCAGUCUCACUGCUCAGCCUCACUGCAGUAGAUCGUAGCAAAAACAUCAUC
RNA transcript from Paramacrobiotus metropolitanus, 2732 nucleotides. It is a transcript of the gene named protein IMPACT-like, with no coding region annotated. The record is from RefSeq and is a predicted model, not a curated record. The transcript has 4 exons. Lineage: Eukaryota; Metazoa; Tardigrada; Eutardigrada; Parachela; Macrobiotidae.